UGAGGAAUAUUGCACAAUGGGCGAAAGCCUGAUGCAGCGACGCCGCGUGGAGGAUGAAGGUUUUCGGAUUGUAAACUCCUGUUAAGUGGGAAAAAAGACUCGUCUUUAAUAGGGACGAGGGAUGAUGGUACCACUAAAGAAAGCACCGGCUAACUUCGUGCCAGCAGCCGCGGUAAUACGAGGGGUGCAAACGUUAUUCGGAAUCAUUGGGCGUAAAGGGUACGUAGACGGCGAAAUAAGUCAGUUAUUAAAUCUUCCAGCUUAACUGGAAACUUGUAGCUGAAACUGAUUUGCUUGAGGAUGGAAGAGAGAAGCGGAAUUCUCGGAGUAGCGGUAAAAUGCGUAGAUCUCGAGAGGAACACCGAUGGCGAAGGCAGCUUCUUGGUCCAUUUCUGACGUUGAGGUACGAAAGCGUGGGGAGCAAACAGG
Molecule: ribosomal RNA, 429 nt
Filed under: uncultured bacterium
Lineage: Bacteria
Description: bacterial SSU rRNA
Rfam family: Bacterial small subunit ribosomal RNA
Source: RNAcentral